CCUACGGGAGGCAGCAGUGGGGAAUAUUGCACAAUGGGCGCAAGCCUGAUGCAGCCAUGCCGCGUGUGUGAAGAAGGCCUUCGGGUUGUAAAGCACUUUCAGCGGGGAGGAAGGCGUUAAGGUUAAUAACCUUGGCGAUUGACGUUACCCGCCGAAGAAGCACCGGCUAACUCCGUGCCAGCAGCCGCGGUAAUACGGAGGGUGCAAGCGUUAAUCGGAAUUACUGGGCGUAAAGCGCACGCAGGCGGUCUGUCAAGUCGGAUGUGAAAUCCCCGGGCUCAACCUGGGAACUGCAUUCGAAACUGGCAGGCUAGAGUCUGGUAGAGGGGGGUAGAAUUCCAGGUGUAGCGGUGAAAUGCGUAGAGAUCUGGAGGAGUACCGGUGGCGAAGGCGGCCCCCUGGACAAAGACUGACGCUCAGGUGCGAAAGCGUGGGGAGCAAACAGGAUAGAUACCCGUGUAGUC
This 464-nucleotide ribosomal RNA is filed under the name uncultured Klebsiella sp. RNAcentral describes it as "bacterial SSU rRNA". It matches the Rfam family "Bacterial small subunit ribosomal RNA", at positions 338 to 795 of the family's 1533-position model. The record is from RNAcentral. Lineage: Bacteria; Pseudomonadati; Pseudomonadota; Gammaproteobacteria; Enterobacterales; Enterobacteriaceae.